CAAGAGCGUAUGUAAAAGUUGUUGCAGUUAAAAAGCUCGUAGUUGAACCUUGGGUUUGGUUGGCCGGUCCGCUUUUUUGCGAGUACUGGAUUCAACCGAGCCUUUCCUUCUGGCUAACCAGUCGUUUCGGCGGCUGGCGAACCAGGAUUUUUACUUUGAGAAAAUUAGAGUGUUCAAAGCAGGCAUUAGCUUGAAUAUAUUAGCAUGGAAUAAUAGAAUAGGACGUUAUGGUUCUAUUUUGUUGGUUUCUAGGACCAUCGUAAUGAUUAAUAGGGACGGUCGGGGGCAUCAGUAUUCGGUUGUCAGAGGUGAAAUUCUUGGAUUUACUGAAGACUAACUACUGCGAAAGCAUUUGCCAAGGACGUUUUCAUUAA
This 374-nucleotide ribosomal RNA is filed under the name uncultured eukaryote. RNAcentral's name for it is "partial 18S ribosomal RNA". It matches the Rfam family "Eukaryotic small subunit ribosomal RNA", at positions 592 to 976 of the family's 1831-position model. The record is from RNAcentral.